This is a long non-coding RNA of Belonocnema kinseyi, 699 nucleotides long. RefSeq lists it as uncharacterized. NCBI's taxonomy places the organism in Eukaryota, Metazoa, Arthropoda, Insecta, Hymenoptera, Cynipidae. The record is from RefSeq and is a predicted model, not a curated record. The transcript is spliced from 3 exons.
UUUGUAUAAAAGCGCUGCAUAUCAUUUUGUUACAAUAGAUAUUCAAUAGUAACAUCGGUGCAGGCCAAUGUAAACUUGCGUUACGGAGUACAUUUUUCUUCGACACAGCAUUCGGCAUUUCUCCCGAGUAUUGACCUUCUACAGAAAGCAGAGAGAGGCCAGAGAUCGAGUCGGACGUUUGCAGCAAAAAAAUUACCAGAUCGCAUUGCUUCUUCACUCGUAAAGGAUGCGGAAUUUUAUGAAGGCAACAAGACUGUGACAUCCUAUGUCGACAUUCCCUCCACACAUCGUUUCAAGUCUGACUAAUGAUGGAUUGUGCAAUUUAUCCGGGAGGAAUCAUAAAAAAGCUAAAAUUCAUUGAAUUUUUAGAAGAAUUUCAUCGACGCAUCAACCACGCGAUGUGUGAUUCAGAGAAAAUUUUACCAAACUCAUCACGAACCUGACCUACAUUUGAGUUGCACGUGUGACAGUCGAACGUGUCUUCGGAUUCUAUGCCAACACUCACCAAGAAUCAGAAUAGAAGGAACGAAGCGCAAAACAGGUCACGUUCUACAAAUCAUCAUUAGUUUGCAGCGCGAAGCGGUAGAUUAUCCAUGGACUGCUUCAUGUGCGCACACCACGCCGUUGAGCCAAGAAAGAAAGUCGAGCAGUCGCUAUAGAAACGUUUUCGAAAGACUUGGAGGCCAUUGUGAUCGAAAU